RNAcentral lists this ribosomal RNA (253 nucleotides) under uncultured bacterium. Its description in RNAcentral is "partial 16S ribosomal RNA". It matches the Rfam family "Bacterial small subunit ribosomal RNA", at positions 524 to 776 of the family's 1533-position model. The record is from RNAcentral.
GACAGAGGGGGCAAGCGUUGCUCGGAAUCACUGGGCGUAAAGGGUGCGUAGGCGGUCGGGUAAGUCUGACGUGAAAUCUCCAAGCUCAACUUGGAAAUGGCGUCGGAUACUAUUCGGCUCGAGGAAUGGAGGGGAGACUGGAAUUCUCGGUGUAGCAGUGAAAUGCGUAGAUAUCGAGAGGAACACCAGUGGCGAAGGCGAGUCUCUGGACAUUUCCUGACGCUGAGGCACGAAAGCCAGGGGAGCAAACGGG